This 963-nucleotide long non-coding RNA is filed under the name Marmota monax (woodchuck). The record is from RNAcentral. Lineage: Eukaryota; Metazoa; Chordata; Mammalia; Rodentia; Sciuridae.
CUUCACCACCGGGGCUGGGAGAAGUGCUGUCCUGCUCAUCCACCCUCCACCCAGGCUGGGCGCCAGCCCAGGCCUCAGUGGGACACCCUGCCCUCUGUCCUGACUCGGUCUUGACAUGUUUUAUUGAGCAUCUGCGGGCUGCUGUGAAGAAAGGGAGUCUGACCCCCAAAAGCAAAGCAGAGGGCGAGGUUAGGGAACGAUGAAGUGCAAACUACAGGAUUCAAAGUUCUCUUACCCCAGGGCUUCCAGCCUAUUCUAAAUGAAACCCGGACAGCCUUGGCCUCUAGCCUGUGCCCAUUUCUCCCCCAGCGGGGGAAGAAGCUAAUUUUUUCGAGCCCUUACUCUCUCCUCUAAAAAAAAUACAAAAAAGGGCUGGGGAUGGGUCAGUGGCGGAGCCCCCUGACUCCCCUCGGCCAGCCCUCGCCUCUGCCUCAAAGCAGACACUGGUCCUGCUCACAGAUGACAACGCGGGGCUCAGCAAGGGGAAGUGACCGGCCUCUGGCUGUGGGUGUGGGGCCAGCGCUGGUGGCCAGGCCUCCCAUGCUCCUCCUAUCCCCCUGCUUUCCUGGGGUCCCUGGUGCACAGGCACCCAUGCCACUUGGGGACCUUCCUCUCUGAGGACUACGGUGUCAGAAGAGAGCGGUCCAAGGAGGGUGGAAAGCAGGGCAAGGCAUAGUCCUCAUCCUCCUGCACGCUGGUCACUCCAAAGCACACCCCUGGACAUACCGAGCCCCCACUUUGCUGCACACAGGGAUGGCCCCGUGCACACUCGCAGUGUCCUUGGGCUGCAAAGACUCCUCCAUAAAGGACUCGGUGGAGCAGGGGCUGCUGGCAGAUGGAUGAAUGGUUCUCGAUCACCAGCGUGAGAGCUCAAUCUCUGGCUGUCACUGCCUCCCGCCCCCAGACAGACACACAAGCACAUGCACACACACGUGCGCGCACACACACUGGAGCUGGCAGCUG